CCUACGGGGGGCAGCAGUGGGGAAUAUUGGGCAAUGGGCGCAAGCCUGACCCAGCAACGCCACGUGAAGGAAGAAGGCUUUCGGGUUGUAAACUUCUUUUGACAGGGAAGAGCAGAAGACGGUACCUGUCGAAUAAGCCACGGCUAACUACGUGCCAGCAGCCGCGGUAAUACGUAGGUGGCAAGCGUUGUCCGGAUUUACUGGGUGUAAAGGGCGUGUAGCCGGGCUGACAAGUCAGAUGUGAAAUCCGGGGGCUCAACCCCCGAACUGCAUUUGAAACUGUUGGUCUUGAGUAUCGGAGAGGCAGGCGGAAUUCCUAGUGUAGCGGUGAAAUGCGUAGAUAUUAGGAGGAACACCAGUGGCGAAGGCAGCCUGCUGGACGACAACUGACGGUGAGGCGCGAAAGCGUGGGGAGCAAACAGGAUUAGAUACCCCAGUAGUC
This 442-nucleotide ribosomal RNA is filed under the name uncultured bacterium. RNAcentral describes it as "partial 16S ribosomal RNA". It matches the Rfam family "Bacterial small subunit ribosomal RNA", at positions 338 to 795 of the family's 1533-position model. The record is from RNAcentral.